This 301-nucleotide ribosomal RNA is filed under the name uncultured bacterium. RNAcentral describes it as "partial 16S ribosomal RNA". It matches the Rfam family "Bacterial small subunit ribosomal RNA", at positions 509 to 809 of the family's 1533-position model. The record is from RNAcentral.
CAGCCGCCGCGGUAAUACGUAGGUGGCAAGCGUUGUCCGGAAUUAUUGGGCGUAAAGCGCGCGCAGGCGGAUCAGUUAGUCUGUCUUAAAAGUUCGGGGCUUAACCCCGUGAUGGGAUGGAAGCUGCUGAUCUAGAGUAUCGGAGAGGAAAGUGGAAUUCCUAGUGUAGCGGUGAAAUGCGUAGAUAUUAGGAAGAACACCAGUGGCGAAGGCGACUUUCUGGACGAAAACUGACGCUGAGGCGCGAAAGCCAGGGGAGCGAACGGGAUUAGAUACCCGAGUAGUCCCUGUCUCUUAUACA